Molecule: non-coding RNA, 875 nt
Organism: Ictidomys tridecemlineatus (thirteen-lined ground squirrel)
Lineage: Eukaryota; Metazoa; Chordata; Mammalia; Rodentia; Sciuridae
Source: RefSeq, a predicted model, not a curated record
AGGCAGCCUGCCAUCUAGCUUUUUCACAGAAAAACAGGCUUGCAGACUGCAGAUGAGAGUCUGGAGCAGAGACAAUUUUAACUUAGCCAUUCCUAAUUUAUCUCAAGCGUUUUCAAUUCAUCUUCACUGCUCUAUGCACACAGGAACACCAGAUUGCCAUCCCUGGGGAACAGAAUGCAACCCGGGAUCUAGAGAGCUGUCACAUUCCAAGAAAUAUUUAAAUUGUGCUGAUUUUCUUCUGGAGAACUGAGCCCAGGGAAUGAAACUCUCCAUCAAGUCAUAGCUUUGCGGGCAAUAGAUCAGAGGAUAUUGCCAGUUUUCUAAUGGAUUAUUGUUAUCGGGCAGGUUUUCUCUGAAGCUUAUCAGCUGCUGUUACAUCUUCUUGUAUGGAGAGUUUCUGCUUGUCUCCAUCAUCGUAGACCAAUAUCCAGAGGCUCAUACCUCCUCCUGAAGAAGUACAGAAGUUCAUUUCUCAGCAUGGGAUUUCAAGAGCUCUUUAGCAUCUAUCUUUUCACCAAGCUCUUCAAAGUUAACAUCCCUAUUCAAGAAUAAUUUUCAUUCCAUCCUCAACCACCUUUACAAAGCCUUUUUAAAUCAACCAUAAAUUGUGGCAUUAGUUUUUUAUUAUAUGGUGCUGAUAAUAAGUAAAUAAAUAAAUAAAACAUUUUUAUCAUGUCUGCUCAGUAAGUUGUAAAACCUUUUAUAUGUCAAAAUAAUAUUUUAAAAAAUCUUUCAGUUAGACUUCUUGUUUGAUUUCUGCACCCUAGACCAGGUUUUGAAUAAGCAAUAAAUAAUGUCUUAGCAACUAUGGUCACCUUAUGAACUAUAAACUCAUGGUCCAUGGGUUGCAAGAGCAGUGUCAUAUGUGGAGGGAA